Molecule: non-coding RNA, 45 nt
Organism: Schistosoma haematobium
Lineage: Eukaryota; Metazoa; Platyhelminthes; Trematoda; Strigeidida; Schistosomatidae
Source: Rfam
AUUCAGCUGACGAUUCCCAAAUAGGACGAAAUGCGCGUCGUGAAU